RNAcentral lists this ribosomal RNA (489 nucleotides) under uncultured Hymenobacter sp. Its description in RNAcentral is "bacterial SSU rRNA". It matches the Rfam family "Bacterial small subunit ribosomal RNA", at positions 91 to 578 of the family's 1533-position model. Lineage: Bacteria; Pseudomonadati; Bacteroidota; Cytophagia; Cytophagales; Hymenobacteraceae. The record is from RNAcentral.
AAUAGUGGCGCACGGGUGCGUAACGCGUAACCAACCUACCCGAAUCUGGGGGAUAGCCCGCCGAAAGGCGGAUUAAUACCGCAUAAAACUGCAGCCUGGCAUCGGGUAACAGUUAAAGAUUUAUUGGAUUCGGAUGGGGUUGCGUGCCAUUAGCUAGUUGGCGGGGUAACGGCCCACCAAGGCGACGAUGGCUAGGGGAGCUGAGAGGCUGGUCCCCCACACGGGCACUGAGAUACGGGCCCGACUCCUACGGGAGGCAGCAGUAGGGAAUAUUGGGCAAUGGUCGAGAGACUGACCCAGCCAUGCCGCGUGCAGGAUGAAGGCUUUCUGAGUCGUAAACUGCUUUUACCAGGGAAGAAAAAAGGGGAUGCGUCCUCUACUGACGGUACCUGGUGAAUAAGCACCGGCUAACUCCGUGCCAGCAGCCGCGGUAACACGGAGGAUCCAAGCGUUAUCCGGAUUUAUUGGGUUUAAAGGGUGCGUAGGCGG